GACGAACGCUGGCGGCGCGCCUAACACAUGCAAGUCGAACGAGCGAGAGAGAGCUUGCUUUCUCGAGCGAGUGGCGAACGGGUGAGUAACGCGUGAGGAACCUGCCUCAAAGAGGGGGACAACAGUUGGAAACGACUGCUAAUACCGCAUAAGCCCACGACCCGGCAUCGGGUUGAGGGAGAAGGAGCAAUCCGCUGAAGGAUGGCCUCGCGUCCGAUUAGCUAGUUGGCGGGGUAACGGCCCACCAAGGCGACGAUCGGUAGCCGGACUGAGAGGUUGAUCGGCCACAUUGGGACUGAGACACGGCCCAG
This 311-nucleotide ribosomal RNA is filed under the name uncultured bacterium. Its description in RNAcentral is "bacterial SSU rRNA". It matches the Rfam family "Bacterial small subunit ribosomal RNA", at positions 28 to 334 of the family's 1533-position model. The record is from RNAcentral.